This 78-nucleotide transfer RNA is filed under the name Planctomycetota bacterium. Its description in RNAcentral is "tRNA-His". It matches the Rfam family "tRNA". Rfam says of the family: Transfer RNA (tRNA) molecules are approximately 80 nucleotides in length. Their secondary structure includes four short double-helical elements and three loops (D, anti-codon, and T loops). The record is from RNAcentral. Lineage: Bacteria; Pseudomonadati; Planctomycetota.
GUGGGCGUAGCUCAAUUGGUUAGAGCGCCAGGCUGUGGCCCUGGAGGUUUGCGGGUUCGAGCCCCGUCGCUCACCCCA